CCGAGUUUACAACUCCCAAACCCCUGUGAACAUACCUAUAUCGUUGCUUCGGCGGGAUCGCCCCGGCGCCUUCGGGCCCGGACCCAGGCGCCCGCCGGAGGACCCCAAACUCUCUGUUUUUUGUGAGUAUCUUCUGAGUAAACAAGCAAAUAAAUUA
Molecule: unclassified non-coding RNA, 157 nt
Filed under: uncultured Ascomycota
Lineage: Eukaryota; Fungi; Ascomycota
Description: sequence contains ITS1
Source: RNAcentral